Molecule: ribosomal RNA, 943 nt
Filed under: Darksidea sp.
Lineage: Eukaryota; Fungi; Ascomycota; Dothideomycetes; Pleosporales; Lentitheciaceae
Description: partial large subunit ribosomal RNA
Rfam family: Eukaryotic large subunit ribosomal RNA
Source: RNAcentral
ACCCGCUGAAAUUAAGCAUAUCAAUAAGCGGAGGAAAAGAAACCAACAGGGAUUGCCCUAGUAACGGCGAGUGAAGCGGCAACAGCUCAAAUUUGAAAUCUGGCCUCCUUUUGGCGGUCCGAGUUGUAAUUUGCAGAGGGCGCUUUGGCGUCGGCAGCGGUCUAAGUUCCUUGGAACAGGACAUCACAGAGGGUGAGAAUCCCGUACGUGGUCGCCUGCCUUCGCCGUGUAAAGCCCCUUCGACGAGUCGAGUUGUUUGGGAAUGCAGCUCUAAAUGGGAGGUAAAUUUCUUCUAAAGCUAAAUACCGGCCAGAGACCGAUAGCGCACAAGUAGAGUGAUCGAAAGAUGAAAAGCACUUUGGAAAGAGAGUCAAACAGCACGUGAAAUUGUUAAAAGGGAAGCGCUUGCAGCCAGACUUGCUCGUAGUUGCUCAUCUGGGCUUUUGCCCAGAGCACUCUUCUGCGGGCAGGCCAGCAUCAGUUUGGGCGACCGGAUAAUGGCCUCUGUCACGUAUCUUCCUUCGGGAUGACCUUAUAGGGGAGGCGUAGUACGGUCAGCCCGGACUGAGGUCCGCGCAUCUGCUAGGAUGCUGGCGUAAUGGCUGCAAGCGGCCCGUCUUGAAACACGGACCAAGGAGUCUAACAUCUAUGCGAGUGUUUGGGUGUCAAGCCCGGGCGCGUAAUGAAAGUGAACGGAGGUGGGAACCCUCUUUUCGGAGGGGGUGCACCAUCGACCGAUCCUGAUGUCUUCGGAUGGAUUUGAGUAAGAGCAUAGCUGUUGGGACCCGAAAGAUGGUGAACUAUGCUUGAAUAGGGUGAAGCCAGAGGAAACUCUGGUGGAGGCUCGCAGCGGUUCUGACGUGCAAAUCGAUCGUCAAAUUUGGGCAUAGGGGCGAAAGACUAAUCGAACUAUCUAGUAGCUGGUUCCUGCCGAAGUCUCCCU